GCUUGCUGGGUGGAUUAGUGGCGAACGGGUGAGUAACACGUGAGUAACCUGCCCCUGACUCUGGGAUAAGCGUUGGAAACGACGUCUAAUACUGGAUAUGACUGCCGGCCGCAUGGUCUGGUGGUGGAAAGAUUUUUUGGUUGGGGAUGGACUCGCGGCCUAUCAGCUUGUUGGUGAGGUAAUGGCUCACCAAGGCGACGACGGGUAGCCGGCCUGAGAGGGUGACCGGCCACACUGGGACUGAGACACGGCCCAGACUCCUACGGGAGGCAGCAGUGGGGAAUAUUGCACAAUGGGCGAAAGCCUGAUGCAGCAACGCCGCGUGAGGGAUGACGGCCUUUCGGGUUGUAAACCUCUUUUAGUAGGGAAGAAGCGAAAGUGACGGUACCUGCAGAAAAAGCACCGGCUAACUACGUGCCAGCAGCCGCGGUAAUACGUAGGGUGCAAGCGUUGUCCGGAAUUAUUGGGCGUAAAGAGCUCGUAGGCGGUUUGUCGCGUCUGCUGUGAAAUCCCGAGGCUCAACCUCGGGCUUGCAGUGGGUACGGGCAGACUAGAGUGCGGUAGGGGAGAUUGGAAUUCCUGGUGUAGCGGUGGAAUGCGCAGAUAUCAGGAGGAACACCGAUGGCGAAGGCAGAUCUCUGGGCCGUAACUGACGCUGAGGAGCGAAAGCAUGGGGAGCGAACAGGAUUAGAUACCCUGGUAGUCCAUGCCGUAAACGUUGGGCGCUAGAUGUAGGGACCUUUCCACGGUUUCUGUGUCGUAGCUAACGCAUUAAGCGCCCCGCCUGGGGAGUACGGCCGCAAGGCUAAAACUCAAAGGAAUUGACGGGGGCCCGCACAAGCGGCGGAGCAUGCGGAUUAAUUCGAUGCAACGCGAAGAACCUUACCAAGGCUUGACAUACACCGGAAACGGCCAGAGAUGGUCGCCCCCUUGUGGUCGGUGUACAGGUGGUGCAUGGUUGUCGUCAGCUCGUGUCGUGAGAUGUUGGGUUAAGUCCCGCAACGAGCGCAAACCCUCGUUCUAUGUUGCCAGCCACGUUAUGGCCGGGGACUCAUAGGAAGACUGUCCGGGGUCAACUUCGGAAGGAAGGGUGGGGGAGGACGUCAAAUCAUCAUGCCCCUUAUGUCUUGGGCUUCACGCAUGCUACAAUGGCCGGUACAAAGGGCUGCGAUACCGUAAGGUGGAGCGAAUCCCAAAAAGCCGGUCUCAGUUCGGAUUGAGGUCUGCAACUCGACCUCAUGAAGUCGGAGUCGCUAGUAAUCGCAGAUCAGCAACGCUGCGGUGAAUACGUUCCCGGGCCUUGUACACACCGCCCGUCAAGUCAUGAAAGUCGGUAACACCCGAAGCCGG
Molecule: ribosomal RNA, 1350 nt
Filed under: Curtobacterium oceanosedimentum
Lineage: Bacteria; Bacillati; Actinomycetota; Actinomycetes; Micrococcales; Microbacteriaceae
Description: bacterial SSU rRNA
Rfam family: Bacterial small subunit ribosomal RNA
Source: RNAcentral